Molecule: ribosomal RNA, 1683 nt
Filed under: wastewater metagenome
Description: bacterial LSU rRNA
Rfam family: Bacterial large subunit ribosomal RNA
Source: RNAcentral
GCGGUCGGAGCUCGCAAGAGUGACGGCGUGCCUUUUGCAUAAUGAGCCGGCGAGUUAGUCUGUACGGCGAGCCUAAGGCCUAGCGGGCCGGAGGCGGAGCGAAAGCGAGUCUGAAUAGGGCGUUGAGUCGUACGGGCUAGACGCGAAACCUUGUGAUCAACCCUCGAGCAGGCUGAAGUGCGGGUAAAACCGCAUGGAGGGCCGAACGGGUGACCGUUGAAAAGGUCUCCGAUGACUUGAGGGGAGGAUUAAAAGUAUAAUCAAACUGGGAGAUAGCUCGUUCUCUCCGAAAUAACUUUAGGGUUAGCCUCGGGUGGCAAGCGAUGGGGGUAGAGCUACUGGAUGAGGCGUCGGGCCUAACCGGCUACGACCCUCAACCAAACUCCGAAUACCAUUGCCCAAGACCCGGGAGAUAGACGGUGAGUGACAAUAUCCAUCGUCAAAAGGAGAACAAUCCAGACCACCAGCUAAGGUCCCGAAUCUACGCUUAGUUCGAAAGGAAGUCAGAUUGCAGUGACAGCCGGGAUGUUGGCUUAGAAGCAGCCACCAUUUAAAGAGUGCGUAACAGCUCACCGGUCGAGGAGUCUGGCGCCGAUAAUGAUCGGGAAUAAGCGUGGAGCCGAAGCUGUGGGCCCAGCAGCAAUGCUGGGCGGUAGGAGAGCGUAGUUGAUGCUGUGAAGCGGCUCGGGAACGGGUCGUGGAGCGUCCACUAGUGCAUAUGCCGGCUUAAGUAACGAUUAACACGGUGAAAAUCCGUGUCGCCGAAUGCCUAAGGUUUCCUGGGGAAGGUAAAUCCGCCCAGGGUUAGCCGGGUCCUAAGGUGAGGCCGAAAGGCGUAGCCGAUGGAAAUCAGGUCAAUAUUCCUGAGCCAAUGCCCAAUAUGGUGACGGAUCUCCAAGAUCUGCGGGACUGCUAGAUGUCCAGGCCCUCGAGGCCGAUGCAGGUGGAGGAGGUCACGAGAAAAACCGGGCGUGCCCGUACUAAAACUGACACAGGUAGGCGAGGCGAAUAGCCUCAGGCGCUCGAGAGAACGGUCGUGAAGGAACUAGGCAAUUUAACCCCGUACGUUCGCAAGAAGGGGGCCCUCGUCGUCAGACAGGGCGCAGAGAAAAGGGUCUGGGAACUGUUUAUCAAAAACACAGCUCUGUGCUAACUCGGAAGAGGAUGUAUACAGAGUGACGCUUGCUCAAUGCCGGAAUGUCACGGAAGCGGGUCAUCGCAAGAGAAGCCCGCGACUCAAGCACCGGUGAAUAGCGGCCGUAACUAUGACGGUCCUAAGGUAGCGAAGUUCCUUGUCGGGUAAGUUCCGACGCGCAUGAAUAGCGUAAUCACUGGAUCACUGUCUCCACGACCGACUCGGUGAAAUAGUAGUGGCGGUGAAGAUGCCGCCUACCCGCAGCAAGACGGAAAGACCCCGUGGACCUUUACUGCAGGCUCCUAUUGGCCACGAGCAUACGCUGCGUAGCAUAGGUGGGAGGCUUUGAGGCCCUUGUUCCGGCUUGGGCUGAGCCAUAAUGUGAAAUACCACCCUGUGUACGUUUGUGGCCUAACCUCGAUUCCCGUAAUCCGGGCGAGAGACCGUGGGUGUCGGGCAGUUUGACUGGGGCGGUCUCCUCCAAAAAGGUAACGGAGGAGUGCAAAGGUCGGCUCAGCACGGAUGGAAACCGUGUCGAGAGUGCAAGA